GAUGAAGAACGCAGCGAAAUGCGAUAAGUAAUGUGAAUUGCAGAAUUCAGUGAAUCAUCGAAUCUUUGAACGCACAUUGCGCCCGCCAGUAUUCUGGCGGGCAUGCCUGUCCGAGCGUCAUUUCAACCCUCGAACCCCUCCGGGGGGUCGGCGUUGGGGAUCGGCCCUCCCUUAGCGGGUGGCCGUCUCCGAAAUACAGUGGCGGUCUCGCCGCAGCCUCUCCUGCGCAGUAGUUUGCACACUCGCACCGGGAGCGCGGCGCGUCCACAGCCGUUAAACACCCAACUUCUGAAAUGUUGACCUCGGAUCAGGUAGGAAUACCCGCUGAACUUAAGCAUAUCAAUAAGCGGAGGA
RNAcentral lists this unclassified non-coding RNA (354 nucleotides) under soil metagenome. RNAcentral describes it as "partial contains 5.8S ribosomal RNA, internal transcribed spacer 2, and large subunit ribosomal RNA". The stretch from base 1 to 120 matches the Rfam family "5.8S ribosomal RNA", at positions 35 to 154 of the family's 154-position model. The record is from RNAcentral.